CAGGGAAUAGUUUACACCGAACAUUAG
Molecule: transfer RNA, 27 nt
Filed under: Ursus thibetanus (Asiatic black bear)
Lineage: Eukaryota; Metazoa; Chordata; Mammalia; Carnivora; Ursidae
Description: partial tRNA-proline
Source: RNAcentral